GCCACUUCAUCUGCCACUGCUUCUCACACAAUUCCCAACCCUCAGUACAAUACAUGGUUUGAUCAAGACCAAAUUGUCCUGAGCACUUUAGUUUCCUCUCUCUCUGAAAGCAUAUUGGCCCAAAUGGUAGGCCUCCUACUGCUAGAGAAGUUUGGGUUGCACUCGAAAAAAUGUUUGCUUCGCACUCUUCAGCCCGACUCAUUCAAACUCGGCAACUUUUGGCUUGUACGAAGAAAGGUAACUUGUCCAUUUCCGAUUAUU
This 261-nucleotide long non-coding RNA is filed under the name Erythranthe guttata (spotted monkey flower). RNAcentral describes it as "long non-coding RNA (EGUT_LNC002152)". Lineage: Eukaryota; Viridiplantae; Streptophyta; Magnoliopsida; Lamiales; Phrymaceae. The record is from RNAcentral.